Molecule: long non-coding RNA, 4867 nt
Filed under: Sus scrofa (pig)
Lineage: Eukaryota; Metazoa; Chordata; Mammalia; Artiodactyla; Suidae
Description: lncRNA (ENSSSCG00000061714.1)
Source: RNAcentral
UCACCUGAAUUCUAGCUUGCGCUCUGCCUCUGUCAAACUAUGGGACUUUGCUGGAUUCUCAGGUUCCCCAUCCAUGGAAUGGAAGCUCCUCCCUGUCUCCCCUACUUCACAGGAAUAUUUUGAGCAUCAUAAAAAUUAAUAAAUGGGAAGGAAGGUCCUUAGCAAGCUAUCAUUUGCUAUACAAAUCUGGCUAUACUUUUAGAACUAGACCUUCAGGGGAGCCAGGUCUGAAAGACCUGAAGUUUCUGAGCUUCCAAGUUUAUCUUCCUUUGCAUAUUUCAUUUGCCUAACUUUAGUGGACAGGAUCAUUAAUAUUAAUGUUCAGGCUUCAUGAAUUAUGCACCUGAACAAAGACAUUUUUCUUCUACCUUUCCCGUCUUAUACUUCAUCUCUCAAGCCCAGUGAGCCUCAACCACUAGCAAAGACCCCACAGAAAAUGAAGAUGUGUCCUUAAGAUAGCAGGACAUGUGGCCGUCCCCACACCAGGCAUCAUCCACUGCCAGCAGAAAGUCUAGACAUAUCCAUAUGCCAGCACGCAUUCACAGUUCCAAGUGCUGAUCUCAGUUUUCACCAAAGUCAGUGGGGACAUUUGCCACCUAGUGACUCAGGCAGAAGAGAGGUUGGACAUGUCCACAAUGGAAGUCUGGUUCCACACUCAGUCAAUGGCUUGUCCACAAAAUAAUGGACCCCAAGGAGGCCCACUGAAGAUAUAACUUCCAAGGGAGAGAAGGGAAAAGCAUAUAUAUUUGGUAAGCAAUGAUGUUUCUCCCACAUUUCCACAAUAGUCAACAGGUGCCAAGGGAGGUAGGAGGGAAAUGCUUAUGGUGGCAGAAUAACACCCCAAGCCCAAAGAGGUCCACCUCAUAACACUUAGAAUCUAUGAAGAUGUACCAUACGUGACAAUGCAUUAGAGGUUGCAAAGAGAAUUAGACUUCCUGAUCAGCCGACUUCAAGAUGGGUCAAUUAUCCUGGAUUAUCCAGGUGGACCCAGGGUAAUCACAAGCAUUUUUAAGUGGAGAAAGUGGAGAUGGAAGAAAAUGCAUGUCAGAGUGAAAAAAAAGCUCAAUGCGCCAUUGUUGACUUGAGAGAGGAAAGUAAGCCAAGAGCUAAGGAGUGUGGGCAACCUUUAGAAGAUGGGAAAGGCUUACAUUUUCUCUGAGAGCCUCCAAAAAUGAAUUGGGUCCUAGCAGCACCUUGGUUUUAGCUCAGCAAAACCGACUUCAAAUUCCUGACCUUCAGAACUGAAAUGGAAUAAAUCUGUGCUGUCAUAAACCACUAAGUUUGUGGUUAUUUGUUACAGGAGCCAUAGGAAAAUAAUACAAAUACCUAGAUGCUAAAUCAAUCUGGAGAUUACACAACCAAAGACAUUAUCCCUCUACUAAAACCAGAGAGCUGAAAGAUUUGUCUCUUCUCUGAGUCUCCAGUUAUUCAUCAAUAGGAGGGCUGGACAUUGGUCUCAAGGGUUCUUCUAGAUCUGUAACCAAAGUCUCUGAACAUAUGUUGCCAUUGUAGCUGAUCACCACUCUCCUGACAGUAAUGGAACCACCGAUGUGGCUGCAGAAGACUGGAAAAACAAAUAUCAACCUUGUUUUUAGAGACAAUUCACAGAUACAUGAGACCUUUCAUAAUAUUGCUGUAUUAGGUAUUCAUAGCUCUCUCUAUAAAAAAAUUUCCCAAAGUUCCGGUAGUGGCUUAGUGGCAAUGAACCCAAUUAGUAUCCAUGAGGAUGCAGGUUUGAUCCCUGGCCUUGCUCAGUGGGUUAAGGAUCCAGCAUUUCCAUGAGCUGUGGUGUAGGUCACAGACAUGGCUCGGAUCUUGUGUUGCUGUGGCUGUGGCAUAGGCUGGCAGUUGUAGCUCUGGUUCGAUCCUUAGCCUGGGAAAGUCCCUAUGUCUUGGGUGUAGCCCUGAAAAGCAGGAAAAAAAAAUCCCCAAACUGAACAAGGGACAUAUGUUAUGUCCUAGUUGCUACGGGUAAGGAUUCUGGGCAUACCUCAGCUUGGUACCAAUGGCUCAACAUCUCUCUCUAUCUCACCAUGUUUUAACCAAGGUGUUAGCCAGGUCCACAGUCAAGACCUGACUAGGAGAUAAUGUGUUUCCAAGCUGACUGAUAUGGCUGCUGGCCAACUUCAGAUCCUCAUGGGCUACUGACUGGAGAGAUUAGUUCCCUGUCAUGUGGCCUUUUCAUGGAGCUGCUCACAACACGGCAGCUGGCUUCCCUCCGACUGAGCCAUAGUCUUAAUGGGGUCUAACAUCUGAAGUGACACCUAAUCCUUCUCCUCUAUUAUAUUCAUUAGAAGAGAAUUAAUAAGUCUGGUUUGCAGUCAAUUGCUGGGGGCAGAGGAGGACUCAAGGAAGUAAGUACCAAGAGGCAUGGCGCAUUGUGACGCAUCUAAGGAGUGAAACACCUCAGAUGCCCUCUAUAAUAUGUAGAAUGACGAAUCAGUGGUUAUGCCAAACUAUUACAGAGGAGAAUGAGUUUGAUUCUCAGCUAAGGGAAAAAUAUCAUAUUUUAGUAUGGCUGGUUUGACCAAAAGUCAGGAGAUUGAUAUAAUGAGGUUUGAGUCAUAUCUUCAAACCCCUCCUGGGUCUCCGACAUCAGCCUGGCCUGGGUCUGCUGAGGAUGAAGGAUGGAGCAUUUCAAUUGCACUCUUGGUCCAACCUGCCAUCAUUUCACACCUAGAUGAUUGCAAUAGCUCCUUAAUGGCCUACUGCCUUUCAACUCAUUUUCUUUAAAGUAGCAAGAAUAUCUUUAAAAUAAAUUAUGCUACUCUUCCGCUUAAGAUCUUCCAAUGGUGCUUACGUACUUAGGAGAAAGCCUGAAAUCCUUACCAGCCUUAUAAGACCAGCAUGAUCUGACAGCUGCCUAUCUCUCCAAUCUUGUUUCAGGCUUUUCUUCUCCUUCAUUCCCUACUCUCAAGCCAGCAUAUCCUUCUUUGGGUCCCUUAAUCCUAUCAAAUUAUUUCUUGCCCAGAGCCUUUGUACACUAAUGUUGCUUCUUGCCUGAUACAAGUUUCUUCAGACCUUACCUGGCUAAUUUCUACUUUGUUCAAAUGCCAUCUAUGCAAGUGAUGCUUUGAGUAAUUUUACAGGUGGUUUCCUUGUUUAAGGUCUAUCUCUUUCAUUUGACUUCAAGUUUCAGGGGAGAAAAUCCAUGUCAUGUAAUGUCACCACUUCAUACCAGUAUUUUUAAAAACUGCCUAGCACAUAGGAGUUCAAUAAAAAGACUAUCCAAACUCUUCUGUGGACAAGCCACAUCUCCUUCCUACAGGUCUAAAAAGAACUAUAUACACAAAGAAAGAAGAACAAGGCAUGGAACAUACACUGGAGUCAAACCAUAGUUAUCACAUAGGAUCUCUUUUUUUCCUAUACGUGUUAGUUUUAAAUAUAUCCUUAAAUCCAUCAAGCUGAAGGUCUACUAUGUCUAUUUCCCCCUCCAUUGUUCAAAUAUGUAUCCUAAUUACUUCAAUGAACCUGGCGGCAUCAGAGAAAAAGGAUAUAGAGGGAAAAAAAUGUUUGUUCCUUGGCAGAGAGCCAAUUUUGCUUAGGCUGCCUGCAGAUUUCUCAGUUGGGGACAGCAUCUAUAGGGGAAAAAGAGAACAGCUAAAAGGAAGAGAAAGAGACAAAUAAGGCUGUACCAUCAUUGACUUAUGGAAGAACGAGAGAAAAGGGCAUAUGUACCAUCUUUUUAUUCCCUUGAAAUUUCUACCCAUCAGGAUCAUUGUCCUCAUAAAAGAGCCUGGAAUAAGGUGACUCAGGUCAACCUCCCUUUUCCAAUUCUUCCUCCCUGAUAGGGGAGUGCUCUACCCUUGACCUUGCUACACCUUUAGAGAGGAUGAAAGACAGGAGUAGGAGAAGGAGGGAUUGGGGCCCUGACUCUGUCCCCUAGAGAACAACAGCAAGAAUUAUUGGAAUGAAGUGGUUCCUGUGUAUGUAAGUGAUAUCAUAUGGUAUUUAUCUAUCUCUUUCUGGCCUACUUCAUUUCGUAUGAGAAUCUCUAGUUCCAUCCAUGUCGAUGCAAAUGGCAUUAUUUUUAUCUUUUUUAUGGCUGAAUAGUAUUCCAUUUUAUAUAUGUACCACAUCUUCUUAAUCCAUUCACCUGUCAAUGGACAUUUCCUUUGGUAUUGUGAAUAGUGUUGCAAUGAACAUGGGGUGCAUGUAUAUUUUUUUAAUGAAAAGUUUGUCCAGAUGUAUGCCCAGGAGUGUGAUUGCUGGAUCAUAUGGUAGUUUCAUGUUUAGUCUUCUGAGGAACCUCCAUAUUUUUUUCCAUAGUGGUUGUACCAAUUUACAUUCCCACAUGGAACAAAAGAACCUACCUUCAAAAACAGACUAAUGGAUAUAAAGAACAGACUUGUGGUUGCCAAGGGGAAGGGGAGAGGGAGUGGGAUGGACUUGGAGUUUGGGAUUAGUAGAUGCAAACUAUUACAUUUAGAAUGGAUAAGAAAUGAGGUCCUACUGUACAGCACAGGGUACUAUAUCCAAUCUCUUGGAAUAGAACAUGAUGGAAGAUAGUAUGAGAAAAAGAAUGUGUGUGUGUGUGUGUGUGUGUGUGUGUGGCUGAGUCACUAUGCUGUAUAGCAGAAAUUGACACAACACUAUAAAUUAACUAUAUUCUAAUAAAAAUAAAUUAAAAAAAGAACGGGAGUUCCCUUCAUGGCUCAGCAGUUAAUGAACCCCACUAGGAUCCAUAAGAAUGUAGGUUCAAUCCCUGGCUUCUUUCAGUGGGUUAAGGAUUUGGUGUUGCCAUGAGUUAUGGUGUAGGUCACAGAUGUGGCUCGGAUCCGGCAUUGUUGUGGCUUUAGCAUAAGCCAGUGACUGUAGCUCCGAUUUGACCGCAGCCUGGGAACAUCCAUAUGCCGCAGGCAUAACC